AGCAGCCCAGAGCCUGAAUCAGUGUGUGUGUUAGUGGAAGCGUCUGGAAAGGCGCGCGAUACAGGGUGACAGCCCCGUACACAAAAAUGCACAUACUGUGAGCUCGAUGAGUAGGGCGGGACACGUGGUAUCCUGUCUGAAUAUGGGGGGACCAUCCUCCAAGGCUAAAUACUCCUGACUGACCGAUAGUGAACCAGUACCGUGAGGGAAAGGCGAAAAGAACCCCGGCGAGGGGAGUGAAAAAGAACCUGAAACCGUGUACGUACAAGCAGUGGGAGCCUCUUAAUGGGGUGACUGCGUACCUUUUGUAUAAUGGGUCAGCGACUUAUAUUCUGUAGCAAGGUUAACCGAAUAGGGGAGCCGAAGGGAAACCGAGUCUUAACUGGGCGUUAAGUUGCAGGGUAUAGACCCGAAACCCGGUGAUCUAGCCAUGGGCAGGUUGAAGGUUGGGUAACACUAACUGGAGGACCGAACCGACUAAUGUUGAAAAAUUAGCGGAUGACUUGUGGCUGGGGGUGAAAGGCCAAUCAAACCGGGAGAUAGCUGGUUCUCCCCGAAAGCUAUUUAGGUAGCGCCUCGUGAAUUCAUCUCCGGGGGUAGAGCACUGUUUCGGCAAGGGGGUCAUCCCGACUUACCAACCCGAUGCAAACUGCGAAUACCGGAGAAUGUUAUCACGGGAGACACACGGCGGGUGCUAACGUCCGUCGUGAAGAGGGAAACAACCCAGACCGCCAGCUAAGGUCCCAAAGUCAUGGUUAAGUGGGAAACGAUGUGGGAAGGCCCAGACAGCCAGGAUGUUGGCUUAGAAGCAGCCAUCAUUUAAAGAAAGCGUAAUAGCUCACUGGUCGAGUCGGCCUGCGCGGAAGAUGUAACGGGGCUAAACCAUGCACCGAAGCUGCGGCAGCGACACUAUGUGUUGUUGGGUA
RNAcentral lists this ribosomal RNA (926 nucleotides) under Escherichia coli. Its description in RNAcentral is "partial 23S ribosomal RNA". It matches the Rfam family "Bacterial large subunit ribosomal RNA", at positions 296 to 1230 of the family's 2925-position model. The record is from RNAcentral. Lineage: Bacteria; Pseudomonadati; Pseudomonadota; Gammaproteobacteria; Enterobacterales; Enterobacteriaceae.